AUGGUGACAGAGAAACUUAUAUAUGACGUUAAUAAUCUUUUAAAUGUUUUUAAGACGUAUUCACCCCAUUUUGGGGUUUUAUUUUUAAUUAAAGGCUUCUUAAAACAUGUGUGAAUAUGUGUAUAUUAUACAAAGAGUCUUAUAUUGUCUGCUCUGACAAAAAUAAAUUAUUAUUUUAGGUUUAGGGGAAUUGACUGCGUGUGUCUUAUAAAUACAACUUGAUAAUACGUUUGUUUUGUAAAGAGACUUCUUUAAAGGCACGCAAGAAUAAAAUAUUUUAGUUGUAACUGGUUAAACUUAAAGGCGAUAUUUUCUAUCGAACUAGUCUAUUUUCUGUUCAGACACAAAGUUUUCUGAUGCUGAUAUUAUGUCAGUGUGUGUUUGUGUGGGGGUCGUGUGAUGUAAUCUUUGAAAGUUUAUGACCGAACCUUUAUUGGGGAGCGACAAGAGAUCUCCCGGAAUCAGUUUGGAUGGAGCAGAGCUGUUAUACUCAAGUCUAUUGGUAUGUAUGUGUUUCGCAGUGUUCGUUCCAGUAUUUUGUCUGAUUUAUUUAAAAACUAAAAAUUCGAUCUCUGGUAUUGCAGCGAAAUUGUCUAAACUGGUGUUUAACUAUUCCUGGUAAAUCGCGGAGAAGAGUGGCCUGAACAACUAGAACAUCCCGCAGCGUAACACGGAAAUCUUGGAACAAAAGAGACGCAGAGUGGAUCGUGUUGUCCGGAUUGGAUAUCAGCGGCAAAGCGAACGUUGUGUGUACUAUUGCAAAAUAUAUAGCGGAUCUCCACGGUUAGGAUACAGACCACAACGCUUUGGACGUAUCUUUAAAAAAGAGAAAAAUCGGAGACUUUUUGGAUUUGUCUGGGACAUUUUAAACAUUUUGUGGCAAAUUGGAUUUAAAACGUUUCGGAUACUGGAUACAUGUGUUGGAUUUGUCCACAGUGCUUGUUUAAGACGUCUUCACCACAUUUUAGGGUUUAUUUUUAAUU
This is a long non-coding RNA of Paramisgurnus dabryanus, 983 nucleotides long. RefSeq lists it as uncharacterized. NCBI's taxonomy places the organism in Eukaryota, Metazoa, Chordata, Actinopteri, Cypriniformes, Cobitidae. The record is from RefSeq and is a predicted model, not a curated record.